Molecule: long non-coding RNA, 102 nt
Organism: Limulus polyphemus (Atlantic horseshoe crab)
Lineage: Eukaryota; Metazoa; Arthropoda; Merostomata; Xiphosura; Limulidae
Exons: 3
Source: RefSeq, a predicted model, not a curated record
UUUUUUGAGAGCCAAAUAAGAUCAAUGCUGCAUGGCGGAGGUGUACGCUCUACUGAGUGCUCCUCUAGUUGGGAAUGAUUGUUCUGUUUUAUUUGAAAACAG